This 1329-nucleotide ribosomal RNA is filed under the name uncultured bacterium. Its description in RNAcentral is "16S ribosomal RNA". It matches the Rfam family "Bacterial small subunit ribosomal RNA", at positions 28 to 1379 of the family's 1533-position model. The record is from RNAcentral.
GAUAAACGCUGGCGGCGUGCCUAACACAUGCAAGUCGAACGCGCCCGCAGGGGCAACCCUGUGGGUGAGUGGCGGACGGGUGAGUAACACGUGGGUUAUCUACCUUGAGGUGAGGAAUACCGGCGAGAAAUCGCCGACAAUACCGCAUAGGUUCGGAACCUUCCGAACAAAGUCCCUUUGGGACGUCUCAAGAUGAGCCUGCGUCCGAUUAGCUUCGUUGGUGGGGUAAAAGCCUACCAAGGCGACGAUCGGUAGCUGGUCUGAGAGGACGAUCAGCCACACUGGGAUUGAGAACGGCCCAGACUCCUACGGGGGGCAGCAGUGAGGAAUUUUCGUCAAUGGGGGCAACCCUGAACGAGCAACGCCGCGUGCAGGAAGAAGGUUUUCGGAUCGUAAACUGCUUUUCUUGGGGAAGAGAAGGGACGGUACCCAAGGAAGAAGCCCCGGCUAACUACGUGCCAGCAGCCGCGGUAAUACGUAGGGGGCAAGCGUUGUCCGGAUUUAUUGGGCGUAAAGCGCACGCAGGCGGUCUUUCACGUUUUGAGUGACAGGUGGUGGCUUAACUGCCACAGGCCUCAAAAUACGGGAAGACUUGAGGGCUUGAGAGGGAUACGGAAUUCCAGGUGGAGCGGUGAAAUGCGUAGAGAUCUGGAAGAACACCAAAGGCGAAGGCAGUAUCCUGGCAAGUCACUGACGCUCAGGUGCGAAAGCUAGGGGAGCGAACGGGAUUAGAUACCCCGGUAGUCCUAGCCGUAAACGAUGACCACUAGACGUGGGGGGUAUCGACCCCUUCCGUGUCGCAGCUAACGCAUGAAGUGGUCCGCCUGGGGAGUACGGUCGCAAGAUUAAAACUCAAAGGAAUUGACGGGGACCCGCACAAGCAGCGGAGCGUGUGGUUUAAUUCGAUGCAACGCGAAGAACCUUACCAAGGCUUGACAUGGAUGUGCACCAGCCGUAAUGGGCUGUCCCGAGAGGGCGCAUUCACAGGUGCUGCAUGGCUGUCGUCAGCUCGUGUCGUGAGAUGUUGGGUUAAGUCCCGCAACGAGCGCAACCCUUGCCCCGUGUUACUAACAGGUAAAGCUGAGGACUCUCGGGGGACUGCCGGCGUCAAGCCGGAGGAAGGUGGGGACGACGUCAAGUCAUCAUGGCCCUUACGUCCAGGGCGACACACGUGCUACAAUGGCCGAGACAGAGGGCGGCUAACCCGCGAGGGGGAGCGAAUCCCAGAAACUCGGUCUAAGUUCGGAUCGCAGUCUGCAACUCGACUGCGUGAAGCCGGAAUCGCUAGUAAUCGCGGAUCAGCCACGCCGCGGUGAUACGUUCCCGGGC